AAAUAUGAAGCACUUAGUGCGUUUAACUGUUAAUUAAAAGGAGCUAAUUGUAGCCAUAUUUU
RNAcentral lists this transfer RNA (62 nucleotides) under Sagaminopteron nigropunctatum. RNAcentral describes it as "tRNA-Asn". The record is from RNAcentral. Lineage: Eukaryota; Metazoa; Mollusca; Gastropoda; Cephalaspidea; Gastropteridae.